AUAUUCCAUAACUAGCUGCUGAUCGUAGUAACAACACAAGAAUAACCUGAAGCUGCAAAAUGCGCGUGUACGUGGCUGUACAGCUCUGGCUUCUGCUUCCGCAACCAGGUCUUGCACAAAGUGACUCCGUGGACCAGUCUCCUCCAGAAGUGAGAGUCUCAGAGGGGCAAAGUGUCACUUUACACUGUAAUUUCACCACCGCUGACCCAAACCCGUAUCUGUUUUGGUACCGGCAGUAUCCGAACCAGCCUCCCCAGCAUAUACUGACUAAAGCGAAGUUUGAUGCUCUGGAUCAGACGCUUGUCCAGGGAAAAUUCUCAGCAUCUUUGUACAUGGCUAAUAGGACGGUUCCCUUCCAGAUUGAGGCUGUUUCUCACCAGGAGAGCGCUGAGUAUUACUGUGCUCUGAGACCCACAGUGGGGGAGAACUGCACCUCCGCUCCUACAAAAAGUUGCUUAGGGAAACAUGAUAGAAUCGUAUAA
Molecule: non-coding RNA, 482 nt
Organism: Mauremys reevesii (Reeves's turtle)
Lineage: Eukaryota; Metazoa; Chordata; Testudines; Geoemydidae
Source: the annotation of a RefSeq genome assembly